GACGAACGCUGGCGGCGUGCUUAACACAUGCCAGUCGAACGGUGAAGCGCCUUCCUUUUUGGUGGGUGUGGAUGAGUGGCGAACGGGUGAGUAACACGUGAGUAACCUGCCUCCUUCUUCUGGAUAACCGCAUGAAAGUGUGGCUAAUACGGGAUAUUCUGGGUCUGUCGCAUGAUGGGUCUGGGAAAGAUAUUGUUUCGGUGGGGGAUGGGCUCGCGGCCUAUCAGCUUGUUGGUGGGGUGAUGGCCUACCAAGGCGGUGACGGGUAGCCGGCCUGAGAGGGUGGACGGUCACACUGGGACUGAGACACGGCCCAGACUCCUACGGGAGGCAGCAGUGGGGAAUAUUGCACAAUGGGCGCAAGCCUGAUGCAGCGACGCCGCGUGAGGGAUGGAGGCCUUCGGGUUGUGAACCUCUUUCGCCAGUGAAGCAGGCCUGCCUCGUUUGUGGGUGGGUUGACGGUAGCUGGAUAAGAAGCGCCGGCUAACUACGUG
This 494-nucleotide ribosomal RNA is filed under the name uncultured bacterium. RNAcentral describes it as "partial 16S ribosomal RNA". It matches the Rfam family "Bacterial small subunit ribosomal RNA", at positions 28 to 507 of the family's 1533-position model. The record is from RNAcentral.